AAAAAGACCUACCAUAGGUGUUUAAAGGUCUCUAGGUAAUAUCUCUUUUAUUUUGCAUGCAUUUAACACUGCAAUGAUGGCAAUGUGCUACAUUAAUGCACUUUUUGUGACAGCAUUUAUCCUUGGACGCACAGCACAGGACAAUGUAAUACAGUCCAAACCAGUUAUGACAGCUUUUGAAGAUGGAACAGCCACUCUUGACUGCACUUACAAAGCAACCAGCACUCAGUAUCCAAAUCUCCUCUGGUACCAACAGAAGACAAAUGGAUCACCAAAAUACAUGCUGAUAAGAUAUUCUGGAUCGAGCAACAAUGAUGAAGAGUUCAAGGAGAGAUUUAAUGCAGUUCUCAACACAUCUGCAUCAACAGUUCCUCUGACGAUCAAGGAUCUGCGUGUGUCUGACUCUGCUGUGUAUUACUGUGCUCUGAAGCCCACUGUGAGAAAACUGAAGUCAAACCACAUACAAAAACACAGGAGCAGAAACAAGAUCACGGAUGGUUUAGUCUGUGCUUCUUUGUUACAACAUCAUCAUAUUCUAGUUAUCAUCAUCAUCAUCAAUAAAUUUAUAUAAGCAGUGAUACAUUGUUAAAGACUUUGUUGAGUAAUACUGUUGUGAUAAGAAAAACAGAACAGAUUUCUUUUAUCUUUUAU
Molecule: non-coding RNA, 651 nt
Organism: Megalobrama amblycephala (Wuchang bream)
Lineage: Eukaryota; Metazoa; Chordata; Actinopteri; Cypriniformes; Xenocyprididae
Source: the annotation of a RefSeq genome assembly